Molecule: ribosomal RNA, 880 nt
Filed under: Ralstonia mannitolilytica
Lineage: Bacteria; Pseudomonadati; Pseudomonadota; Betaproteobacteria; Burkholderiales; Burkholderiaceae
Description: bacterial SSU rRNA
Rfam family: Bacterial small subunit ribosomal RNA
Source: RNAcentral
UGCAAGUCGAACGGCAGCGGGGGAAAGCUUGCUUUCCUGCCGGCGAGUGGCGAACGGGUGAGUAAUACAUCGGAACGUGCCCUGUAGUGGGGGAUAACUAGUCGAAAGAUUAGCUAAUACCGCAUACGACCUGAGGGUGAAAGUGGGGGACCGCAAGGCCUCAUGCUAUAGGAGCGGCCGAUGUCUGAUUAGCUAGUUGGUGGGGUAAAGGCCUACCAAGGCGACGAUCAGUAGCUGGUCUGAGAGGACGAUCAGCCACACUGGGACUGAGACACGGCCCAGACUCCUACGGGAGGCAGCAGUGGGGAAUUUUGGACAAUGGGCGAAAGCCUGAUCCAGCAAUGCCGCGUGUGUGAAGAAGGCCUUCGGGUUGUAAAGCACUUUUGUCCGGAAAGAAAUGGCUCUGGUUAAUACCCGGAGUUGAUGACGGUACCGGAAGAAUAAGGACCGGCUAACUACGUGCCAGCAGCCGCGGUAAUACGUAGGGUCCAAGCGUUAAUCGGAAUUACUGGGCGUAAAGCGUGCGCAGGCGGUUGUGCAAGACCGAUGUGAAAUCCCCGGGCUUAACCUGGGAAUUGCAUUGGUGACUGCACGGCUAGAGUGUGUCAGAGGGAGGUAGAAUUCCACGUGUAGCAGUGAAAUGCGUAGAGAUGUGGAGGAAUACCGAUGGCGAAGGCAGCCUCCUGGGAUAACACUGACGCUCAUGCACGAAAGCGUGGGGAGCAAACAGGAUUAGAUACCCUGGUAGUCCACGCCCUAAACGAUGUCAACUAGUUGUUGGGGAUUCAUUUCCUUAGUAACGUAGCUAACGCGUGAAGUUGACCGCCUGGGGAGUACGGUCGCAAGAUUAAAACUCAAAGGAAUUGACGGGGACCCGCAC